AGCUGCUCUGCAUCGAAGCUAUGUCAGGUCAGUGCCUGAUGUAGUCAUAACAAGAGCAAGACUAAACCUCCACCAUUACGGUCGCUGACAGGACUCAAUUGACUGACCAGCAUUACCCAAGGUGGAAACAUUG
This is a small nucleolar RNA of Scylla paramamosain (green mud crab), 133 nucleotides long. NCBI's taxonomy places the organism in Eukaryota, Metazoa, Arthropoda, Malacostraca, Decapoda, Portunidae. The record is from RefSeq and is a predicted model, not a curated record.